Thalassophryne amazonica is the source of this 104-nucleotide long non-coding RNA. RefSeq lists it as uncharacterized. The record is from RefSeq and is a predicted model, not a curated record. The transcript is spliced from 3 exons. Lineage: Eukaryota; Metazoa; Chordata; Actinopteri; Batrachoidiformes; Batrachoididae.
CACUAAUCAUGGAAAAAGUAAUCUAUGGUGAAUGUUUCAACUUUUAAGAAACAAAUUAUUCUGAAGUACAAAUUGUAAUCCUUGAAUCUGUUUCCUAUUUGUAU